RNAcentral lists this ribosomal RNA (429 nucleotides) under Bacteroidota bacterium. RNAcentral's name for it is "Bacteroidetes bacterium partial 16S ribosomal RNA". It matches the Rfam family "Bacterial small subunit ribosomal RNA", at positions 355 to 776 of the family's 1533-position model. The record is from RNAcentral. Lineage: Bacteria; Pseudomonadati; Bacteroidota.
UAGGGAAUCUUCCGCAAUGGACGCAAGUCUGACGGAGCAACGCCGCGUGAGUGAAGAAGGAUUUCGGUUCGUAAAACUCUGUUGUUAGAGAAGAACAGCGCAUAGAGUAACUGUUAUGCGUGUGACGGUAUCUAACCAGAAAGCCACGGCUAACUACGUGCCAGCAGCCGCGGUAAUACGUAGGUGGCAAGCGUUGUCCGGAUUUAUUGGGCGUAAAGCGAGCGCAGGCGGUCAAUUAAGUCUGAUGUGAAAGCCCCCGGCUCAACCGGGGAGGGUCAUUGGAAACUGUUUAACUUGAGUGCAGAAGGGGAGAGUGGAAUUCCAUGUGUAGCGGUGAAAUGCGUAGAUAUAUGGAGGAACACCAGUGGCGAAGGCGACUCUCUGGUCUGUAACUGACGCUGAGGCUCGAAAGCGUGGGUAGCAAACAGG